Molecule: long non-coding RNA, 684 nt
Filed under: Gigantopelta aegis
Lineage: Eukaryota; Metazoa; Mollusca; Gastropoda; Neomphalida; Peltospiridae
Description: uncharacterized LOC121371573, transcript variant X1
Source: RNAcentral
GUACUCUGGCUAGAGUAACCUAUGUGACAGUAUCACCAUCCUAUCCCAACUAUAAGUUUGUUUUGUUUAACGACACAACUAGAGCAUAUUUAUUUAUUAUUAUUAAUACUGGAUGUCAGACAUUUGGUAAUUUUGACAUAUAGUCGGGGGUCUUUGGUAAGUACCAUCCCAUAGACAGGCUAGCACAUACCAGGCUUAAACGAGAAAUAGUUCAAUGGGCCCACCAACUGGAAUCGAUCACAGACAGACAUGCGACCUAUUUACCACCGGGCUAUGUCCCGCCCCAAUCCCAACAAACCAUUUACCACGUUUCAAUGUAGCAUCAUAAAACACGCAUUCUUUUUCUCUGGUUGCGUACCUCUGAAACAACAAGCUGCUAGUUCAAUUGGCGUACAAGUUACAGACGACUGAUAACAUCAAUAAACUCCCAUAUUGUAAAGAGCAAGAAGGGCGUUGUUCAUCAUGUCAAGGGAGAGAACUUCGUGAUACUUUAUUAUUCCAUCUCUUAGCAACUGGGCACUAAGCAGCUGAGCUUCCUUUGCCAUCACCUUCGGUGGCCGCGCCAAUGGCUUGCCAUUCACACCGGGACUCAUCGACAACAGCUGUAUUGAGUCGGAUGGACAUGAGUUGAUGGAGAGAGAGAUCAUGGCCACCCUGACAAACACGUGCAACAGCUGGUUUCUG